This 438-nucleotide ribosomal RNA is filed under the name uncultured bacterium. Its description in RNAcentral is "SSU rRNA". It matches the Rfam family "Bacterial small subunit ribosomal RNA", at positions 26 to 518 of the family's 1533-position model. The record is from RNAcentral.
AGAACGAACGCUGGCGGCAGGCUUAACACAUGCAAGUCGAACGCCCCGCAAGGGGAGUGGCAGACGGGUGAGUAACGCGUGGGAACGUGCCCUUCGCUUCGGGAUAGCCUCGGGAAACUGGGAGUAAUACCGAAUACGCCGUAUUGGGAAAGAUUUAUCGGCGAAGGAUCGGCCCGCGUUGGAUUAGCUAGUUGGCGGUGUAAUGGACCACCAAGGCGACGAUCCAUAGCUGGUCUGAGAGGAUGAUCAGCCACACUGGGACUGAGACACGGCCCAGACUCCUACGGGAGGCAGCAGUGGGGAAUCUUGGACAAUGGGCGCAAGCCUGAUCCAGCCAUGCCGCGUGAGUGAAGAGGCCUUAGGUUGUAAACUCUUUCGCCGGUGAAGAUAAUGACGGUAACGGAGAAGAAGCCCGGCUAACUUCGCGCCAGCAGCCGC